GAUGAACGCUGGCGGCGUGCCUAAUACAUGCAAGUCGAACGGAAAGACGCGGCGCUUGCUUCUCUGUUGUUAGGGGAAGGCGGGUGAGUAACGCGUGUAUACCCUCCCUGUCAGACUGAGAUCACUUCGAGACUGCGGCGCUUAUCCCGUAGGAUAUUUUGCUCCACGUGGUUGAAUAGUGAGAGUCGGUGUUGGUGGCACUUAUAGAUGCAUCCGCGCUGCAUUAGCUAGUUGGUAAGGUAACGGCUUACCAAGGCAACGAUGCAUAGCCGACCUGAGAGGGUGAGCGGCCACACUGGAACUGAGACACGGUCCAGACUCCUACGGGAGGCAGCAGUAGGGAAUCGUCCGCAAUGGGCGAAAGCCUGACGGAGCAACGCCGCGUGAGUGAUGAAGGUCUUCGGAUCGUAAAACUCUGUUAUUAGGGAAGAACAUAUGUGUAAGUAACUGUGCACAUCUUGACGGUACCUAAUCAGAAAGCCACGGCUAACUACGUG
Molecule: ribosomal RNA, 497 nt
Filed under: uncultured bacterium
Lineage: Bacteria
Description: partial 16S ribosomal RNA
Rfam family: Bacterial small subunit ribosomal RNA
Source: RNAcentral